CCUACGGGAGGCAGCAGUGGGGAAUAUUGGACAAUGGGCGAAAGCCUGAUCCAGCAAUGCCGCGUGAGUGAUGAAGGCCUUAGGGUCGUAAAGCUCUUUUACCAGGGAUGAUAAUGACAGUACCUGGAGAAUAAGCUCCGGCUAACUCCGUGCCAGCAGCCGCGGUAAUACGGAGGGAGCUAGCGUUGUUCGGAAUUACUGGGCGUAAAGCGUACGUAGGCGGUUAUUCAAGUCAGAGGUGAAAGCCCGGGGCUCAACCCCGGAACGGCCUUUGAAACUAGAUAGCUAGAGUCUUGGAGAGGUCAGUGGAAUUCCGAGUGUAGAGGUGAAAUUCGUAGAUAUUCGGAAGAACACCAGUGGCGAAGGCGACUGACUGGACAAGUACUGACGCUGAGGUACGAAAGCGUGGGGAGCAAACAGGAUUAGAUACCCUGGUAGUCCACGCCGUAAACGAUGAUAACUAGCUGUCCGGGUACUUGGUAUCUGGGUGGCGCAGCUAACGCAUUAAGUUAUCCGCCUGGGGAGUACGGUCGCAAGAUUAAAACUCAAAUGAAUUGACGG
RNAcentral lists this ribosomal RNA (561 nucleotides) under uncultured bacterium. Its description in RNAcentral is "bacterial SSU rRNA". It matches the Rfam family "Bacterial small subunit ribosomal RNA", at positions 338 to 916 of the family's 1533-position model. The record is from RNAcentral.